GCGUUGCAGUUUUGCAACAAUACUUUAGGAGUAAUCAAGUACUGUAUUAUUUAAUAUUUUGUUUCGUUUUCAACUUAUUUUACUCCGGAUAGCACUUUUUAUUACAUUUUAUACCGGAACUCUUUUGAAAAGAAGAUUUUUCUUUUUCAAAUCGGACAUUUUUAGAGGCGAUCUACACUUUUCUGCUUUUUGCUAAAUGGCUUUCACAUAUUCAUAACCAUGGAUCCAAGAGUCUAAUUUGAAAGUCUUCUACCAGUUUAUUCUGAGCUACUCCUUUUGGCUCAAAAGAUAGUGAGUUGUCCAAUGAUGAAAUAGAGAACGUAAACAGUACCCGGGUCCUAUCGGAUGUUGGUGAUGAAGAUUUAUCUGACAUAGUUGAAGAGUAUGCCCAUUUGCGAAAAAUGAUGAAACUCCUCAGGACCUUCUCAAUUGUCUACACCAAGGUAUUCAUUAGCAACAACAGAAUGAUCAGUCCCAGUAUACAGCAAAUGUUCCACCAUUUCCUGAUCCUAGGAGAGAAGCCAAACAUCAGAGGCGGCCAUUGGAUUAUUUCAACGACAUCUUUACAGAUAAUCUGUGUUCGGACAGUUGUGUAUCAAUCCAACCUGUACUGUCUUCUAACAUGACAUCAACAGUCCUUUAGCACUGGAUAAAGAUUAUUCCUGGAAAUUAGAUUUUACAUAAACAUUGUAAAAAAUUCCUAAAUGCUGAGUGUAUUGGAGCCUUGCCACCAAGUUUGUUACGGUCACAUACGUCAUGACCAUCAACAGAUUCAAGCGGAAUAAGAAUAAUCUGCACCUGUCAAACAAUGUCCUCCACAGGACAAACAAUCCAUUAGCACUGGAUAAGAUUGAGCUAAAACAUUUCCUAGGAAUUGUGUGUAUUACAUAAACAUUGUAAAAACUCAUAUAUGCUGAGUGUAUUGGAGACUUGCGACCAAAUGUGUUACAGUCAAUACAUCAUGACCAUCAACAGAUUCAAGCGGAUAAAGAAUAAUAUACACCUGUGAAACUAUGUCCUCAGCAGGACAUAAACAAUCCACUAGUACUGGAUAAAGAUGAACAAAAACAUCUCCUGGAAAUUGUGUUUUACAUAAACAUUGUAAAAAAAAUUCUAGAUACCAAAGAUCUUGGUGCCUUGUCACCUAAUGUGUUACUGUCACAGACAUAACCAUCAAUAGAUUCGAGUGGAUUAAGAAUAAGCUACACCUGUCAAACAAUGUUCAAAGGGCUGAAGUUGACCAAUGUCAGAAUUCUGUGCUUAUCAAACCCCAUGCCAUCUGAGAUUCUAAGUAUUCAUGAGCAAAUCGACCCAUUCACAUAUCGUAGGCAAAAGCAGUCCAACCUACAACCAUAGAAAGCCAUAUAGAUGGGCUACAAAGUUUUUGUUGUGUCCAACAACUUGUAUAAUCCAAGAUUUUGAAGUGCAUACAGCUAAAGCUACAAAGGGACAAGAUGACAAAGUGCUGUUGCUAAUAUUGAGCAGACAUUAUUACAGAGUGUUCCCCAAUAUGUUGGGCUCAAGAUUUACAUAGACAAUAUCAGUUAGUUCAUCAUUUAGUUGCAGGUUGUCCUGCACCAAGAAUGCACAGAAGUUUUUAUUUGUUGUAUAGCAAACAAAAAAAAUGCUAAUAAAUUUUUUUACUAAAUAAACCUUCAUGUAAUUUUUCAGUUGUUUUUUUCUCUUUCAGUGUACAUGUUUUUACUUUUGUUUUCAUCAUAAAUAAGCUUACAUGUUACUAUUGUUACUCUCAAAUGAUUUGUACAAGUUAUUUACAUUUCUAUCAACAAUUCUAUAUAAAUAUUUUUUUUGCUUAUUAUGGAUAAAAAGUUUGACCGUUGCGCAUAGUUGCAGAAUUGCAACCACCAAAAUUGUUGUGAUAUUUAUCAUCUAUUCAAAAAAAAAAUUCCCUACAUCUCAAGUUAGUCCAUUUGCUGUAGAAAUAUGAAGUCAAAAAAUUUUUACCAAGUAAACCAAUAAUUCAUGCA
Molecule: long non-coding RNA, 1988 nt
Organism: Physella acuta
Lineage: Eukaryota; Metazoa; Mollusca; Gastropoda; Physidae
Source: RefSeq, a predicted model, not a curated record